CGUGAGAUGUUCGGUUAAGUCCGGCAACGAGCGCAACCCACAUCUUUAGUUGCAGAGGUUAAAGCUGGGCACUCUAGAGAAACUGCCCGUGAUAAGCGGGAGGAAGGUGUGGAUGACGUCCAGUCCUCAUGGCCCUUACGGGUUGGGCUACACACGUGCUACAAUGGCAGUGACAAUGGGUUAAUCCCCAAAAGCUGUCUCAGUUCGGAUUGGGGUCUGCAACUCGACCCCAUGAAGUCGGAAUCGCUAGUAAUCGAGUAACAGCAUGACGCGGUGAAUACGUUCCCGGGCCUU
Molecule: ribosomal RNA, 294 nt
Filed under: uncultured marine bacterium pC2-12
Lineage: Bacteria; Pseudomonadati; Pseudomonadota; Alphaproteobacteria
Description: partial 16S ribosomal RNA
Rfam family: Bacterial small subunit ribosomal RNA
Source: RNAcentral